RNAcentral lists this ribosomal RNA (693 nucleotides) under Salmonella enterica subsp. enterica serovar Oranienburg. RNAcentral's name for it is "partial 23S ribosomal RNA". It matches the Rfam family "Bacterial large subunit ribosomal RNA", at positions 2190 to 2877 of the family's 2925-position model. The record is from RNAcentral. Lineage: Bacteria; Pseudomonadati; Pseudomonadota; Gammaproteobacteria; Enterobacterales; Enterobacteriaceae.
CCUUGAAAUACCACCCUUUAAUGUUUGAUGUUCUAACGUGGACCCGUGAUCCGGGUUGCGGACAGUGUCUGGUGGGUAGUUUGACUGGGGCGGUCUCCUCCUAAAGAGUAACGGAGGAGCACGAAGGUUGGCUAAUCCUGGUCGGACAUCAGGAGGUUAGUGCAAUGGCAUAAGCCAGCUUGACUGCGAGCGUGACGGCGCGAGCAGGUGCGAAAGCAGGUCAUAGUGAUCCGGUGGUUCUGAAUGGAAGGGCCAUCGCUCAACGGAUAAAAGGUACUCCGGGGAUAACAGGCUGAUACCGCCCAAGAGUUCAUAUCGACGGCGGUGUUUGGCACCUCGAUGUCGGCUCAUCACAUCCUGGGGCUGAAGUAGGUCCCAAGGGUAUGGCUGUUCGCCAUUUAAAGUGGUACGCGAGCUGGGUUUAGAACGUCGUGAGACAGUUCGGUCCCUAUCUGCCGUGGGCGCUGGAGAACUGAGGGGGGCUGCUCCUAGUACGAGAGGACCGGAGUGGACGCAUCACUGGUGUUCGGGUUGUCAUGCCAAUGGCACUGCCCGGUAGCUAAAUGCGGAAGAGAUAAGUGCUGAAAGCAUCUAAGCACGAAACUUGCCCCGAGAUGAGUUCUCCCUGAGACUUUAGGUCUCCUGAAGGAACGUUGAAGACGACGACGUUGAUAGGCCGGGUGUGUAAGCGCA